GCUGAAAACGCUUAUCGACUGUGGCGAUUGUCCUUUCCCCCUCAUUCUCGAACCCUAAUGCCUUUCGUUUAAGUCCUUUCGUUCCCUCUCCCCUUCUCGAACCCUAAUCACUCAUUGAAUGUCUUUCAUUCACGAAGUGAAAUCUCUGAAUCGCAGUAAUGAAGCUUCAAUCGCUCUCACAAAGCUUCAAUAUCUCAUUCACUGAUUCUAUUUAUCAAUUCGAAGCUGUCGACAUGUUCUAAUUCUAUUUCUCAAUCGCAAUCUCUUAGUUUCGAUAAGUUUUCUAAUUUACAAUUAUCCUUCAAUCUACACUUGUUUUCAUGUAUUGGGUUUUUGUGAUUAGUGUUUUCAAGGUGAAAUUUGUGUUUUUUAGGUUAUUGGGUGAUGUGUUUUUAAUUUGGGGUUUCCUUGGAUUUGGUAAAUUGUUUA
RNAcentral lists this long non-coding RNA (429 nucleotides) under Trifolium pratense (red clover). RNAcentral's name for it is "long non-coding RNA (TPRA_LNC000829)". The record is from RNAcentral. Lineage: Eukaryota; Viridiplantae; Streptophyta; Magnoliopsida; Fabales; Fabaceae.